CCUACGGGGGGCUGCAGUGGGGAAUAUUGGACAAUGGGCGAAAGCCUGAUCCAGCCAUGCCGCGUGUGUGAAGAAGGCCUUCGGGUUGUAAAGCACUUUCAGUGGGGAAGAAAGCCUUGGGGCUAAUACCCUCGAGGAAGGACAUCACCCACAGAAGAAGCACCGGCUAACUCCGUGCCAGCAGCCGCGGUAAUACGGAGGGUGCGAGCGUUAAUCGGAAUUACUGGGCGUAAAGCGCGCGUAGGCGGUCUGAUAAGCCGGUUGUGAAAGCCCCGGGCUCAACCUGGGAACGGCAUCCGGAACUGUCAGGCUAGAGUGCAGGAGAGGAAGGUAGAAUUCCCGGUGUAGCGGUGAAAAGCGUAGAGAUCGGGAGGAAUACCAGUGGCGAAGGCGGCCUUCUGGACUGACACUGACGCUGAGGUGCGAAAGCGUGGGUAGCAAACAGGAUUAGAUACCCGUGUAGUC
RNAcentral lists this ribosomal RNA (465 nucleotides) under Vreelandella stevensii. RNAcentral's name for it is "partial 16S ribosomal RNA". It matches the Rfam family "Bacterial small subunit ribosomal RNA", at positions 338 to 795 of the family's 1533-position model. The record is from RNAcentral. Lineage: Bacteria; Pseudomonadati; Pseudomonadota; Gammaproteobacteria; Oceanospirillales; Halomonadaceae.